UAGUACGGCGAGUGAAGAGGAAAGAGCUCAAAGUUGGAACCUGUUUGGCUUAGCUAAACCGGAUUGUAAACUGUAGAAGUGUUUUCCAGACACGCCUGGUAAAAAAGUCCUUUGGAACAGGGCAUCAUAGAGGGUGAGAAUCCCGUCAUUGGCCAGAGCUGUUGUCUUUUGUGAUACAUUUUCAAAGAGUCAGGUUGUUUGGGAAUGCAGCCUAAAUUGGGUGGUAAAUCUCACCUAAAGCUAAAUAUUUGCGAGAGACCGAUAGCGAACAAGUACCGUGAGGGAAAGAUGAAAAGAACUUUGAAAAGAGAGUUAAACAGUAUGUGAAAUUGUUAAAAGGGAACCGUUUGGAGCCAGACUGGCUUGAUCGUAAUCACUCUAGGCUUUGGCCUGGAUGCACUUGCGGUCUAUGCCGGCCAACGACAGUUUUGUUUGAGGGAAAAAAUUACAUUGAAUGUGGCCCUUCGGGGUGUUAUAGCUUUGUAAAAAAUACCUUGGACGGGACUGAGGAACGCAGCGAAUGCCUUUAGGCGAGAUUGCUGGGUGCUUGCGCUGAUACAUGCUAGAAUUUCUGCUUUGGGUGGUGCUAGUGUGUAAAGGAGUAACCCGCUUAGUAUAUUUUUUAUUCGCUUAGGUUGUUGGCUUAAUGACUCUAAAUGACCCGUCUUAAC
Molecule: ribosomal RNA, 671 nt
Filed under: Mucor irregularis
Lineage: Eukaryota; Fungi; Mucoromycota; Mucoromycetes; Mucorales; Mucoraceae
Description: partial large subunit ribosomal RNA
Rfam family: Eukaryotic large subunit ribosomal RNA
Source: RNAcentral